This is a long non-coding RNA of Myiozetetes cayanensis, 1137 nucleotides long. RefSeq lists it as uncharacterized. The transcript has 4 exons. The record is from RefSeq and is a predicted model, not a curated record. NCBI's taxonomy places the organism in Eukaryota, Metazoa, Chordata, Aves, Passeriformes, Tyrannidae.
CCCACUCUCAGGUGGAUGGUUGCUCUUCAGCAUUUGGCCAAGGUCAGACAGCUCCUCCAGCAAUCAGUGGAACUAUUAAUUAACCUGAGGGCAGUUCCUGGCCUGUUUCGAGCACAGCAGCAUCCAUGAAGGGGGUAGGGAACGAGCUGGUUGGAGGCUGAUGAAGAUCUGGGCUUGCAUUCCAGCAAAGAUGUCCACAAAGGAAAAUGGAGAUCAAGCACAUCCAUGCAAAGGGCGGCUGGUUGGGAUCGCAUCCUUUCAGCAGCACACUCACCGACGAGCAGAUUUCAAGUCAACCAUGAAUGGUACAAGCUUGGUCAAGGACUCCAGGCAUCGGCUGGUAGGUUCUGUAAGGCCUGGGGGCAGGAGCACUGUGGCUUCCCAGGAAUGUCACUGGCAAACAGUCACCAGCAGACCCCAGCACACACAGGUAAGCCGAUGGGAUUGCUGUGAACUGUCUCAUCUGUUGUACAAGUGUCAAAAUAAUUGCCGUGUCAGAUAAACUUUUGCUUUUUAUUAAAAAACAAACCCCACCAAACUUAUAAGGUAAUUGAUUGCUUUCUUCUAGUCUUUUAUUAGUUGUGAUUAAGGAGCUAUAGUAGUCCUGUUUACACAGCUCUAACAAGUCAGGACCUGCAGUACGUUAUUGGCUUGCGGCCCACAACUUGCCGUCCAUUCUCAACAGAAUCAAUCUGAAGUUGAAAACAUCCCCCGUAGGAAGCGUACACAUCCCUGCUCACACAGGAACAGAAACAGUAAUAACUUCAGGUCCUGUAAGUUGCAAGUUCAACUUACAGAGAUCAGCCCUGACUUGUCAUUGCUCUCAGCAUGUUCGUGAUGAGAUCAGAGCACUUCACAAAGGACUCAUACUUCCAGCUUGACAAGGGACAUAGGUGAGCGUGUAACACUCCACUGUUACUCACCCCUCACUGCAGAAAUGAAUCGAGAGCUCCUCGCUGUUUAACAUGCAGUCAAAGCACUGCCAAUCUAAAAUGGCUGAUCAGUAAUACUUUAAUUGCAGUUUCAUAGAAACAAAUUGCUAUUUAAUUGCAAUAAGCUUGUCUGUGGCUUAGCUGGACUGACAAUAGGCAUCCACCUGGUAGUAAUAGUAACGAGCAGCAACAAGGGUUAUCUGGU